This 440-nucleotide ribosomal RNA is filed under the name uncultured Lachnospiraceae bacterium. RNAcentral describes it as "bacterial SSU rRNA". It matches the Rfam family "Bacterial small subunit ribosomal RNA", at positions 338 to 795 of the family's 1533-position model. Lineage: Bacteria; Bacillati; Bacillota; Clostridia; Lachnospirales; Lachnospiraceae. The record is from RNAcentral.
CCUACGGGCGGCAGCAGUGGGGAAUAUUGGACAAUGGGGGAAACCCUGAUCCAGCGACGCCGCGUGAGUGAAGAAGUAUUUCGGUAUGUAAAGCUCUAUCAGCAGGGAAGAAAAUGACGGUACCUGACUAAGAAGCCCCGGCUAACUACGUGCCAGCAGCCGCGGUAAUACGUAGGGGGCAAGCGUUAUCCGGAUUUACUGGGUGUAAAGGGAGCGCAGACGGCGAAGCAAGUCUGAAGUGAAAUGCAUGGGCUCAACCCAUGAAUUGCUUUGGAAACUGUUUGGCUUGAAUGUCGGAGGGGUAAGCGGAAUUCCUAGUGUAGCGGUGAAAUGCGUAGAUAUUAGGAGGAACACCGGAGGCGAAGGCGGCUUACUGGGCGACAACUGACGUUGAGGCUCGAAGGCGUGGGGAGCAAACAGGAUUAGAUACCCUAGUAGUC